GCAGCGAUGACCGGGUGGUUAAGGAGUUUGAGUUGAAGUCAAAUGGGGUAUGACCGCGUAGGUUCGAACCCUGCUAGCUGCG
This 82-nucleotide transfer RNA is filed under the name Toxocara canis (dog roundworm). It matches the Rfam family "tRNA". Rfam says of the family: Transfer RNA (tRNA) molecules are approximately 80 nucleotides in length. Their secondary structure includes four short double-helical elements and three loops (D, anti-codon, and T loops). Lineage: Eukaryota; Metazoa; Nematoda; Chromadorea; Rhabditida; Toxocaridae. The record is from Rfam by way of RNAcentral.